This is a long non-coding RNA of Orcinus orca (killer whale), 5376 nucleotides long. RefSeq lists it as uncharacterized. The transcript has 2 exons. The record is from RefSeq and is a predicted model, not a curated record. Lineage: Eukaryota; Metazoa; Chordata; Mammalia; Artiodactyla; Delphinidae.
GGUUAUUUUUUUAUCAUUUCCAUUUCUAUGCUGACAUUUCCUACCUGUUUACUGUGUUUAUCUUUUCUGUUAAGUCUUUAAACACAUUUAUAAUGGCUACUUUUAUGUCCUUGUCUGCCAGUUCUAACACUUAGGUCAUCUUUGUGUCUAUAAAUAAAGCUUUAUAGGAACACAACAAUGCUCAUUAUUUGCAUAUUGUCUGUGGCUGUUUUCAUGCUACACUGACAGUAUUGAAAGGUUGGGAAAGAGAUCAUAUGACUUAUAAGCCUGAAAUAUUUACUGUCCAGGCUUGUAAAAAGUUUUGCUAACCUCUGCUCUAAAAAAUGCCCCACACUUGAGGGCGUGACACUUCCUGCUAUCACAUGGCCUUCCUGUCGCCUCAGGAGGUGCUCAAAGAGCCUGGCAAGGGCUAGAACUCCAAAGCCUUCCAGCACUGAGCUAUUUUCUGGUGCCUUCAUUCAGCACACAGCCCAGCAGCAGCCUCUCUCUGUGGAGCCUUGUGGAGUUUUGCCCUGAUAUGUACAUCCCUGUCCCCAGCCUAGGAUCUGCUGGGAACUCCCAUGCAGACUUCUAGGAACUCAUCUUUGUGGUUCUCUGCCCUCUGGUAUUAUUCCCUACACAUUUCAGACCUUUAGCAGCCCUGAACUUCAGUCUCUGCCUCUUCUGCUCAGACGACUGCUAUGCUCUGCUUGGGCUCCACUUCUUGGCCCCUAUCAUUUGGAAGGAUUUUCUGGGGAAAGAACCAGGGUGAAUGUGUCACUCAUUUUGUGGGCUUCCCUUGUCUUAAAGUUCUGAGUCCUGUGCUGCCUCAUGUUCAAUGUCUGAAAAUAAUUGCCUUAUUUAUUUGUCAUUUAUAGUUGUUUAUGUCAGGAGGACAAGUUUAAUACUGGUUGCUGUGAAGGUGGCAAAAGGCAGAAGUUUCUCUUUAUUCCUUUUUUAUUCCUAAAUUUUAUUAUAUACAAUUAUGACUUAGAUAGCUAAGAAACCCUGAAUUAUAGUAAGGAAAAACAAAUUUAUACAUAAAUGGUGUAAAGAUUUUUUCUUUACUGCUAAUUGGGCUAUCCCUCUGUCCUUGUUCUUUGUUAUUGGAGACAUCUUCCAUUCACACACUUUUGUUUUGGGGAAAAAAAAGAUUUUAUGACUACCAUGCUCUUCUACAGUUACAGAAGAUGUUCACACCCAUUGCAACAUUAUGUAUUUAUUUUACCCUUUUAAAACUAUUAUUACUAGAAAAUAACUCAAAGCUAACAGCACUAUUUUCCUAUUCUAAAAAACAUUUUCAGAUUAGAAAAAAGGAUCUCAAAACUGCCUAUAGAUAUAAUAUAUAUUUAGUUUCUAUUUUAUUGCUAUAUCUUCUUGUCAGAAUAUGUUAGAUGGGGUGUUUCUUCUAAUGGUCCCUAAAUUUAAACUUCCAGAAGUUGGAGGCAGGCUAUGCUUAUAGAAAGCAAAAUGCAUUCUAUCAGCAGGCUAUGCUUAUAGAAGGCAGUAUAUUAUGCUGAUUGGUCAAAUUCCCAACUUAUAUGGCUAAAUUUCUGUGGCACAAAGAAGCUCUAAAUUAGCAGAUUAAUUUGAGCUGUUUUCUCAAAAUUUUAGUUAUUUUGCAUUUUAUCUCAAUUUUAGAACUUAUGUUAUUGCACCAGGAUAUCUUGGUUUUAAAUUACUACUUGAUUUUAAAUUACUAAGCACCUCUUGGAUGUCAAAUUGAUAAGUAUCAAUUUGAAUUUUUGCAAUUAGUGCCUAUAGGCACAGUGAUAAAUGACUGUCCAGAAGAGGUAACUGAAAUUCUGAGAUGUGUAUAAAUCAUGUCAUAAGGGGAACUGUAGAAAGAAUUAAGGCUGGUGAUGGAGGUGUUAGGUGUGAAUUUCUCAGUGUACUUAAGGGCUGUUUUAAGUGCAGAAAAGACUAUUCAGAGGUUGGUUAAGCUUUAAGAGUUAAUAAUAAAUUUAUUAUAGUUACAGAUUCAAAAUCGUAGUUUUUCCUUAAACUUUAAAGUUCAGUUUACAAAUCUUAUUUUGUUUGUAAACCAAAGUUUUGCAAUCACUUGUAAGGGUCUUUGACUAAUAUUUGGUUCUAUUUAUGGAUUUGUUAAUUAAACAUCUUCAGAUAUUUUACACUGCAUUUAAAUAUUUAAUAUAUUUCAGUUCUUUAUCUCUAAAAUGUUGUUUGACUAAUAAACCUUCCCAAGUGUUUGAGUAAUUGUUAUAAAUCUGACAUGUUAGACCUAAAUGCAACAAACUUAAAUGUUACAGAAAAACCUGAACAAACUUUUUGGCCAGCCCAAUACUUGCACCUUUGUGAUUUCCAGACUCUGAUUUCCAGAGCCAAUGGGUCCCUGAACCCUCAAACAUCUAAUAUUCUCUGCAGGGAAGUCUACCAUCCCUCUUUCCUUGAAUCUUAAGGUUUAUAAAAGUGUCUUUUACAUACAACUCUGUAACACUUCAAAUUUUAUGGAAUCUCACAGAGCUCUUAUGCGUAUUAAAAUGAUAUCAAAUUGAAUUUUAGAACUCUCUCCUGGCUUAACAGGCUAAUUGGUCACAGCUUCCAGGCUCACAGUCCUGAGAAACCUGUCGGGGACCCAUGUGUUAUGCUGCCCCAGAGGACUUGCAUGAGCCCUUGUAACCACAGAUGUAACAACUAUGAAAUUUUACUUGUUUAUUAGAACCAGAUGUCCAUAGGUGCUUCAUUUUGCCUGUGUAACAGGUGAUUUUCAAGAGAUCUGGCCAUUCAGUUAUGAGCUGUCUUGGUUUUUAGCCAUGGGUUAUUCAAUAAUGCUCUUUCUCCCCUCCUCCCUCUACCACCAUCCAGCCUCCUGCUUCUCCUUUUCUCCAUAAAACACAAUAAAUGAGUGCCUAUUUUCAACGGGGCAUGGUUCUGGAAAUAAAAAGGUAGAUGAGAUAGAGGUUAAAUAAAAGAGUACUAAAAAUGCUUUAACACAAAAAAAUUGAGAUAAAACUUUCAUAUAGUAAAAUGUACAAAUAUUAAGUAUAAGCUCAACAAAUUACCAAUUACUUAGGAGUUUUCAUAAGUGGGCCUUCAAACUGACAAUUCAAGCCAAAGUCCAUUCAUUUUAUCUGGGAUAGUGUGCUCACUGGUAAAAUUUCCUUAAUGAGCACACUAUCCCAGAUAAAAUGAAUGGACUUUGGCUUGAAUUGUCGCACUGAAGGCUGUUACUCAGAAAUUUGUGCAUUGUUAGUUUGGAGCAGGGUCAGUGUACUAUGGCCUGUGGGACUAUUUCUGUGUGUCCUGGGAGCUAAGAAUGGUUUUUAUAUUUUUAAAGGAUGUAAGACAAAAUAGAAGAAGGAGGAGAAGAAGAAGAAACAGAGACUAUAUGUGGACUGCAAAAUUUAAAAUAUUUACUCUCUGACCUUGUACAGAAAAGAGGUUAUAGAGGAAAGAAAGCUGUGGAGCCAUAGAGGAAAGAAAGCUAACUGGAAUCCAAGGGUAAUGGUUGCUCUUCUUCGCUCUCUAGCCCAGGAAGAUGUGUCAACAGCCUUCCUUCUGACUGGCACUACAUGUUGCUCAAUCAGAAAAGGGUUUACCUUUUUUACUGACUUAUGUCAGCCCCACCUAGUGAAUUUAAGUACAAGGAAGAGUUUGCUGAAAUGCUGUGCCAGAAACACUAAGUCAGGACACACACAGGUCGUUGACCUCAAUCCGGAAAUGAACUCGACUUUUCAGAAAUAUAGGAAGAGUUAUGGCUAUGCUGAACUAUUCUAAAGGUUGUGGAUGUGUUUCGAAGACUUUGCCACAGAUUCUUCAUCAACUGUUGGCUAACGGAUCCCCUGGGACCUUUGCAGCAGAGCAGACAACUGUAAGUCUAUGAAGUGAAGUGAUUAACCCAACUUGGGCAGCUAAGUGGCAGAACUGGGCAAUGGAUCAAAAGCCAGUCACUCAUCAUACAUCCUAGAAUAUAAAUACCUACCCCUGCGAAGAUUGGGGUCUAUCUAGGGACUUUGGAUACAAGGAUUCUGACCUCAGAAUCCUUUGAAAUGUUAGUAUAAUGUACUUAGACAAUUUUACCUGAGCAUCUUUUUUGUGUGUGUCAGGCACUGUGCUAGCUGCUGAGUUUAUGACAGCCAAUGAAGUAUGCACAGUCACGGCCCUCACUGAGCCUCCAACAGCAGGUGUUAGAGGGGCAUUAAACAAACAAAUAAGAUAAUAUGUAUGUAAUUACAAAUGGUGCAAAUGUCUAUCAAGGAAAGGACUGGGAUGGUAUGAAAGGGAGAUUGAUAAGGGGUUUUACUUUAGAUUAAGGGACCAGGGAGGGCCUCUUAGAGGAGGGGACAUUUAAGUUGAAACCUGAAGGGUGAGCUGGAACCAGCUAGAGUAGUGGGUACAGUUGGGUACAGUUGCCCCCAGGGGACAUUUGGCCGUGUCUAGAGAUAGUUUGGUUGUCACAGCUGGGCAAGGUGUAGGAGGGGGGUUGGUGGCGUUGCUGGCAUCUAGUGGGUAGAGGCCAGAGAUGCUGCUAAACUUCCUACAGUGCAAAAGACAACCUCUCACAGCAAAGAAUUUUCAGGUCCCCAAUUUUCAGGCAGUAGUACUGAGAUUGAGAACCAGCAUUUGGGAGAAUCAGCAUGUGGGAAGGCUCCCAGCCCCAGGUGGGCUAGUGCUUAAUGCAGCCCAGAAAUAGGAAGAACAGCAGCAUGGCUAGAGGUCAGUCAUUGGCCGGGGUGGGGUAGGGGGGGACUAGGAAAGAUGGAGCCAUGCAUCAAAGACCAUAGGGUUGGUCAUUAUAAGGACUUAGAUCUUAUUGCAAAUUCUCCGUGAGUUUGCUCAUUCACCCGUUUCAAAAGUAGUGAUACAAUAAAGUUCCCAUUGUCCAGGAAUUUCCAGACAGACUAACUCCAAACAAGAAGGAACUGUUGGGGUUGGGGGAGGAGAGAAACAGGUGAGGCAGAUUAAGAGGUACCACCUUUCAGUAACAAAAUAGCUGAGUCACAGGUAUGAAAUGUACAGUGUGGGGAAUAUAGUCAAUCAUUAUGUAAUAUCUUUGUAUGGUAAGUAGCCUUACUGUGGUGAUUGUUUUGAAAUAUAUAGAAAUAUCGAAUCACUGUGUUGUGUAACAGGAACUAGCAUAGUGUCAUAGGUCGAUUAUACUUCAAAAACAAGCAAACAAACUCAUAGAAAAAGAGAUCAGAUAUGUGGUUACCAAAGGUGGGGGUAGGGAAAGGGGGAAUUGAAGGAAGGCAGUCAAAAGGCACAAAAUCCCAGUUACAGGAUAAAUAAGUACUAGGGAUGUAAUGUGCAACAUGAUAAAUAUAAUUAACACUGCUGUAUCUUGUAUAUGAAAGUUGUUAAGAGAGUAAAGUUUUUCUAUUUCUUUUUGUAUCUAUAUGAGAUGAUGGAUGUUCACUAAACUUAUUGUGCUAAUCA